This 477-nucleotide ribosomal RNA is filed under the name uncultured Planctomycetales bacterium. Its description in RNAcentral is "bacterial SSU rRNA". It matches the Rfam family "Bacterial small subunit ribosomal RNA", at positions 365 to 832 of the family's 1533-position model. The record is from RNAcentral. Lineage: Bacteria; Pseudomonadati; Planctomycetota; Planctomycetia; Planctomycetales.
UUCGCAAUGCCCGAAAGGGUGACGAAGCGACGCCGCGUGCGGGAAGAAGGCCCUCGGGUUGUAAACCGCUGUCGGGAGUUAAGAAAUGCAAGGGUGUUAACAGCAUCCUUGCUUGACUAAGGCUCCGGAGGAAGCCACGGCUAACUCUGUGCCAGCAGCCGCGGUAAUACAGAGGCGGCAAGCGUUGUUCGGAAUUAUUGGGCGUAAAGAGCACGUAGGCGGCUGUGUAAGUCGGUUGUGAAAGCCUUCCGCUCAACGGGAGAACGGCAUCCGAUACUGCAUGGCUUGAGUGCGGGAGGGGAGAGUGGAACUUCUGGUGGAGCGGUGAAAUGCGUAGAUAUCAGAAGGAACACCGGCGGCGAAGGCGACUCUCUGGCCCGUAACUGACGCUGAGUGUGCGAAAGCUAGGGGAGCAAACGGGAUUAGAUACCCCGGUAGUCCUAGCCGUAAACGAUGGGCACUAAGUAGAGGGGUUUU